Molecule: transfer RNA, 65 nt
Filed under: Lordithon thoracicus
Lineage: Eukaryota; Metazoa; Arthropoda; Insecta; Coleoptera; Staphylinidae
Description: tRNA-Leu
Rfam family: tRNA
About the family: Transfer RNA (tRNA) molecules are approximately 80 nucleotides in length. Their secondary structure includes four short double-helical elements and three loops (D, anti-codon, and T loops).
Source: RNAcentral
UUCUAAUGUGGCAGAAUAGUGUAAUGGAUUUAAACCCCAUUUAUAAAGGAAUCCUUUCUUUAGAA